RNAcentral lists this ribosomal RNA (253 nucleotides) under uncultured bacterium. Its description in RNAcentral is "partial 16S ribosomal RNA". It matches the Rfam family "Bacterial small subunit ribosomal RNA", at positions 524 to 776 of the family's 1533-position model. The record is from RNAcentral.
UACGUAGGCAGCAAGCGUUGUUCGGAGUUACUGGGCGUAAAGGGUGUGUAGGCGGUCUUCUAAGUCUGGUGUGAAAUCUCCCGGCUCAACUGGGAGGGUGCGCCGAAAACUGGAAGGCUAGAGUGCGGGAUGGGAGAGUGGAAUUCCUGGUGUAGCGGUGAAAUGCGUAGAUAUCAGGAGGAACACCUGUGGUGUAGACGGCUCUCUGGACCGCAACUGACGCUGAGACACGAAAGCGUGGGGAGCGAACAGG